This 338-nucleotide ribosomal RNA is filed under the name uncultured Pseudomonadota bacterium. RNAcentral's name for it is "bacterial SSU rRNA". It matches the Rfam family "Bacterial small subunit ribosomal RNA", at positions 29 to 351 of the family's 1533-position model. Lineage: Bacteria; Pseudomonadati; Pseudomonadota. The record is from RNAcentral.
AACGAACGCUGGCGGCGUGCCUAAGACAUGCAAGUCGUGCGGAAAGGCUCCUUCGGGAGUACUCGAGCGGCGCACGGGUGAGUAACGCGUGGGUAAUCUGCCUUCGGGUUUGGGACAACUCCGGGAAACUGGAGCUAAUACCGGAUAAGACCACGGGGCUCUCGGGCCCUGCGGAAAAAGGUGGCCUCUGCUUGCAAGCUACCGCCCGUUGAUGAGCCUGCGUCCCAUUAGCUAGUUGGUGGGGUAACGGCCUACCAAGGCGAUGAUGGGUAGCUGGUCUGAGAGGAUGAUCAGCCACACUGGAACUGAGAUACGGUCCAGACUCCUACGGGAGGCUG